Bombus pyrosoma is the source of this 4248-nucleotide long non-coding RNA. RefSeq lists it as uncharacterized. The transcript is spliced from 5 exons. Lineage: Eukaryota; Metazoa; Arthropoda; Insecta; Hymenoptera; Apidae. The record is from RefSeq and is a predicted model, not a curated record.
AUAUUUCACGCUUUGUUAACCAGGAGUCGGACUUAGAUUUUGUGAGACCAUACAUCUAUUAUUCCGUUGACCGCGGAUUCGUUAUCGAACUUGAGGCCAUUGUCACUAGUGUCGCGAGUGCCCAAUCGCCGCGGUUAAUUGUCAAGAUUGUAACACAUCCAUCGCAGCAAUAAACUACACCUAUGUUGUACCGCAUCAAUGGCUAAUUCUCGUGAGGAUUCAUUUGACGCUCACAAUCCUAAUCCUAGUGCUUAUCCGACAUAUAUAUAUAUAUAUCGACUUUCAGUAUUCGGUGAACUGUCUUACCAGGUCUCUGAAGGCUUAUGCACUUUCUUAGCGGUAUCUUAGAAAAUGACAUCCUGUUUCCACAAUUCUUUAUCGUUCCUGAAGUGCAGGCACCAUGAUGUCUAACGAGGAACAGUAUAGGUGUCAAAUUCUGUGCAUAAAUCGGUUAUAAAUUCUUCGAUUUUGAAGCGGUCUUCUUCAAAUAUUGCAGGUUCACGUAUCUACACAUCCGUCAGGCUUUUCGUGUACGUGACACUUUCUCUAGUCUAGUUUCCGAAUUAGAAUCACGCUCAUAUUUCUGGGGAUUGUUUGUUGGUGUUCGAUGAUAAUAUGAUAAAUGUCUUUGUCUUUCAAUCGUUUAAUACCCAACAACUAAUCUUGGUCUCAUUGAAUUGUCCGCUUCAAUUCUUGUGGAGUAACAGAUCAGACAGAUUCAUCUCUUGGUGACAACUCUGCUUAUCCUUCCAAAGAAAUAAUAUACUAGUGAAAUAAUUGUAUUCAAUCGAAAUCAGGUUCUUUUGAACUAUAAUCAGGUUUUUUGAUUGACAGACAUUCAAUCUUAACUAAUACGGUUGUCAAACUUUCCCUACCUUAGUUUGCGAGUUAGAAUCGUUCUCAUAUUUCUGACGACCGUUUAUUUUUUAUUCGAUGAUAAUUGUUUUCGUCAAUCGUUCAUUUAAUACCCCUUAGUUAAUUUUCCAACUGGUUCAAACUAUAGUUUACAUGUUCCCAUGUCUCUAUUAGCCUUGGCCCUACUGUGAUCAAUACAGCUAACUGUUAAUAGUCUCGUUUACAAGGUAAAAUCGCUGUCAUAUUUCUGUCGAUUGCUUGUUUUGGUAUUCAAUGAUAAUCGUUGUCGUCACUCGUUCAUUUAAUACUCUUUACUUAAUCUUCCAGCUGGUUCAAACUACACGUCUCCACAUGUCUUUCUGACUACAUUCUGCUCAUUGCCGCAAACCGUUCGUGGUUUCAUUUAUGAGGUAAAAUCGCUUCCUUCUUCUUUUGCGACCGUAUUUUUGGUAUUGAAUAAUACGCGUUUUCGUUAGUCGUUCGUUUAAUAUUCAUCUAUUAAUUUUAUUACGGUUGAAAGUAUGACUUUGGAAGUAGAAUUUACACAUUUCCACAGGUUUGUUACUUUAGGCGGGGGAAGCACAUUUCUGGAGAGUGGAGAUCGAAGAGAUUCACUUCUUGAUUACACAGGUCCCAUCUGUUCGGAAAAUAGAAAAAAUAUUUUUUCUGGAAAGAAUCCUAGCGAUGUAGAAUUGAGUUCCGAUCUUUCAUGUCCUCUGUUGUCUUGUUUGGACUCAGAUGCUUCCUCAAACUUCGUUUGAUAUUGUUUCCGAUUUAACAUUUAACAUGGAAUUUUCUCCUGUUUCGAGUUUUCUCUCGUAGUAAUAAUGUCGCAUCCUCCAAAGUUCUGGAUUUCAGUGAUCCGUGUUGUUUGAAGAGAUGCUAGUAGAUAGUAACAAAAUAUGAUUCGUGUACAAAGGGUUAAGUAUGCAAAGAUAAUUAAUAUAAAAAGGCAAUUAAAGUAAAUUGCAUCUAAAACACAUUUCUCCCCAUUUUUUAAUUAUCCAGCUGCCUACGUAAAGAAUAACAGAACAUCAUCAGAAUAUAGAAUUAUCAAUUAUCACAAUAUGACAGUUUCACUUAACCCCCCCCCCCACCCCAAUAAUGAUAAUCCUAUUUAACACGGAUUCGCAAUUCUCAAGUAGAAAUAACUGCAACUUUAUCUGUAAUUAUAUGUAAUGAUGGGUUUGUUCAGGAACAUGGAAUAAGUAAGGGUUUAUGACAUUGCCGAUCGCACCCGAAGAGAGGUCUAGACCAAAAAAACUUGAAGGGCCGACAACGUCAUGAACCAUUCAGCAAAAGAAACAAAUUGUUACCCUUCACUCCCUCUUUGAGUAAUUAAUAGCGGGGCAAAGGGGAAAUUACGGGUCUUCUUGGGUUUUUUUUUGCGCAGUCUAUGACCAGAUACUAAAGGUCAGUCGUCAAAAACAGUUAUUUUUCGUUUUACGAAAAUCAAAGGUCGUGGUCUAACCAGCGGACACAAUAUAACGAUCGAUAUUCUGUAUCAUAUCCAGAAGGGACAAUCCCUUAAUAACCACGCAUUCAAAAGCUAAUACAGUCCACAUUAUGAUAAACUCCCUGGCCUAUACCUACUUUCGAAUAUUUGAACGCGUACAGGGUUUACUCAAAAAUAUGACUAGAUGUCGCGGUUAUUUUGAAUAUUACAAAAGCAGUCAAACAAUCAUUUAACACAUUUUAUUUUAAAAUUCUGUAUUGUCUUGGAAUAUAAUGUAUAUAAUGUAAAUUAUUAUUAAAUAAUCAGUCCUCAACCAAUCGGUGAGAACAAAGUGGUGAGAAAAAAAUUCAAUGAUAGAAAUGCUAAAAAUCAGUUCAUGUGACCGAAGUGGCUACGGCGAAAUAAACCCCACACUGGAUAUUUGAAUAAAUAAAUAUGCAUCAUCGAGAAGAAUGAGCGAGACAGAUUGAUCGAUUUUCACGAUGUGAAACGUGUGAAAUACGCGUCCACCUUGAAAGACGACGAAAGUUAAUAAAUACAGGCCACGAUCGACGUAUGUGUUAAUUUGUUAUCGACGGAAGUGAGAAAAACUAUUGGAUCGAAAAACAGCUGGAUUAGGGACGAAGAAACUUGGUCGAUGUCUGAAGCACUUCUGCAGACAAUUUAUUUAUCCAAUAGGAACGAUGAAACUUUUUCAAGCUUCAAGCUUUGUGAAAAAUAAUUCUGUCGAAAGCGUCGUAUUGAAACAAUGGGAUACGUCCAGUAGAUAGACGAUCCGUGGAAAUAAAAAGUAACCGUAAGCCUAGGAAAUGGACGCUUCUUAUUACUUUAGUGAUUUUCAUUAUUUGAACAAUUUAGUUAAGUAAUAAGUACGUACUUCCGUUAAAGAGGUGUUACGUUCAGCUUCAUGGAUUUUUCAAUGCAAGAUUGGAGAAAGCUUUUAAUACAAGUUGAUCGUAAAGAGAAGAUCUUCCGCAGUCAUCGUCUGUAACCACUCAAAGUGAUUUGUCCAUUAUAUUAGUCAAGUAUAAAACUGAUCCUAAGCUAUAGGAGGAAAAAAGAGAUUAUAAAAAAAUAAAUAUAUGAAAACUUGAAUUACAAGAAUUAGACUAUUUGGAUAUGAGGUGUAAGUGAGUGUCCGAGAUAAUAGUAGCUGCUGGCUGUAAAUGUCGCUGCUGGGGUACUGCUGUAUUUUAUUCCUAUUUAAGAAUCGUAGAAGAAUCGUAAUUUCUUCCUUUCCGAAGUCGGUUAAAAAUAUGGACCUAACAUACGAAUGCAGGACCAUGAGAGAGGAUAACAGUAUUGAAUAUGUAUGUACACGAUCGAUGUUUCAAGAAUCAUCUAAGUACAGACCAGGUAUAACAUGGUUCGUGAAAAAUCUAGGUAUAAGAGGACAUUUUGAGACAACACGUUUACUCAGAUCAUGGCAUCGAAGUAUAAGCAGAUUUCUCACCAAGAUGUAAAUCUGCUUGACUUGCCAUUAAAUGAGUUGAAGCAGAAACCUAGACAUUAUCGACAAGAAUCCAGUAUAAUUGAUAUUGACUGGACAUCAAUUAAUGAGCCCAAGAGGCAGUCUUCCAAAACAUGACUCGCUACAUUGUCACCCACACGGAAAGCCUGACUGACAUGUGAGUACGUGUGAACAGAGCAACCGUUGAUUGUAAUUACGCUCCGUCAUGCCAUACUCGUAGGACGAGCAAUUCAAUCAACUAAUAAGCAAUAUUUUGUAAUUUCUCCUACAUAAAACUGUACUAAAAAGCAAGACAUAUGCACGUAUGAUAUUGAUCAAAUGUAAGAUAAGUUUUCUUAGCGCAUCCAAAUAGUAUACCGAAUCAGAGCAAUUAAAUACCUCAAUAGAAUGCUAUCUCGAUCAGUUCCUUAAAAAUUAUAAAUCUAAACUUCGCUAGAAAUAGGUAUACAAAAUAUUAUACUGCAUA